GGGGGAGGCNUCAAAUUAAGNAAGGACGGGAAGGACCUUUUCCAGUGUAUGGUGANGCGUAGAGAGCGCAGUUCUGUUAUAANUNUCAGAGCCUGGAUGGACGUGUCGGGGAGCGACCCUGCCGUUUCGACGGCGAGCGCCCCCGGAGGCCUUCAAACACUGCAUCUUUGCGUCGGAGUUUAAGUAAAUUAAACAAAACUUUCAACAACGGAUCUCUUGGUUCUGGCAUCGAUGAAGAACGCAGCGAAAUGCGAUAAGUAAUGUGAAUUGCAGAAUUCAGUGAAUCAUCGAAUCUUUGAACGCACAUUGCGCCCCUUGGUAUUCCGAGGGGCAUGCCUGUUCGAGCGUCAUUUCACCACUCAAGCCUCGCUUGGUAUUGGGCGCCGCGGUGUUCCGCGCGCCUCAAAGUCUCCGGCUGAGCUGUCCGUCUCUAAGCGUUGUGAUUUCAUUAAUCGCUUCGGAGCGCGGGCGGUCGCGGCCGUUAAAUCUUUUAUAAGGUUGACCUCGGAUCAGGUAGGGAUACCCGCUGAACUUAAGCAUAUCA
This 544-nucleotide ribosomal RNA is filed under the name Cercospora canescens. RNAcentral describes it as "eukaryotic LSU rRNA". The stretch from base 197 to 350 matches the Rfam family "5.8S ribosomal RNA". Lineage: Eukaryota; Fungi; Ascomycota; Dothideomycetes; Mycosphaerellales; Mycosphaerellaceae. The record is from RNAcentral.